RNAcentral lists this ribosomal RNA (478 nucleotides) under uncultured bacterium. RNAcentral's name for it is "partial 16S ribosomal RNA". It matches the Rfam family "Bacterial small subunit ribosomal RNA", at positions 28 to 507 of the family's 1533-position model. The record is from RNAcentral.
GAUGAACGCUAGCGGCAGGCCUAACACAUGCAAGUCGAGGGAGAAGCCCUUUCGGGGGCAGAAACCGGCGCACGGGUGCGUAACGCGUAUGCAACCUACCUUUCACAGGGGGAUAGCCCGAAGAAAUUUGGAUUAAUACCCCAUAAUAUUAUUGGAUGGCAUCAUUUGAUAAUUAAAACUGCGGUGGUGAACGAUGGGCAUGCGUCCUAUUAGCUAGUUGGAGUGGUAACGGCACCCCAAGGCUACGAUAGGUAGGGGUCCUGAGAGGGAGAUCCCCCACACUGGUACUGAGACAGGGACCAGACUCCUACGGGAGGCAGCAGUGAGGAAGAUUGGUCAAUGGUCGGAAGACUGAACCAGCCAUGCCGCGUGCAAGAAGAAUGCCUUAUGGGUUGUAAACUGCUUUUAUAUGGGAAGAAUAAGGUGUACGUGUACAUUGAUGACGGUACCAUAUGAAUAAGCAUCGGCUAACUCCGUG